CCUACGUGUGGCAGCAGUGAGGAAUAUUGGUCAAUGGGCGUAAGCCUGAACCAGCCAAGUCGCGUGAGGGAUGAAGGUUCUAUGGAUCGUAAACCUCUUUUAUAAGGGAAUAAAGUGUGGGGCGUGUCCUGUUUUGUAUGUACCUUAUGAAUAAGGAUCGGCUAACUCCGUGCCAGCAGCCGCGGUAAUACGGAGGAUCCGAGCGUUAUCCGGAUUUGUUGGGUUUAAAGGGUGCGUAGGCGGCCUUUUAAGUCAGCGGUGAAAGUCUGUGGCUCAAACAAAGAAUUGCAGUUGAAACUGGGAGGCUUGAGUAUGUUUGAGGCAGGCGGAAUGAGUGGUGUAGCGGUGAAAUGCUUAGAUAUCACGAAGAACCCCGAUUGCGAAGGCAGCCUGCCAAUCCAUGACUGACGCUGAUGCACGAAAGCGUGGGGAUCAAACAGGAUUAGAUACCCUUGUAGUC
RNAcentral lists this ribosomal RNA (460 nucleotides) under uncultured bacterium. RNAcentral describes it as "partial 16S ribosomal RNA". It matches the Rfam family "Bacterial small subunit ribosomal RNA", at positions 338 to 795 of the family's 1533-position model. The record is from RNAcentral.